AGCAGCGUGGCUUAGUGGAAAGAGCAUGGGCUUGGGAGUCAGAGGACAUGGAUUCUAAUUCCAUCUCCGCCA
This 72-nucleotide transfer RNA is filed under the name Ornithorhynchus anatinus (platypus). It matches the Rfam family "tRNA". Rfam says of the family: Transfer RNA (tRNA) molecules are approximately 80 nucleotides in length. Their secondary structure includes four short double-helical elements and three loops (D, anti-codon, and T loops). Further hydrogen bonds mediate the characteristic L-shaped molecular structure. tRNAs have two regions of fundamental functional importance: the anti-codon, which is responsible for specific mRNA codon recognition, and the 3' end, to which the tRNAs corresponding amino acid is attached (by aminoacyl-tRNA synthetases). tRNAs cope with the degeneracy of the genetic code in two manners: having more than one tRNA (with a specific anti-codon) for a particular amino acid; and 'wobble' base-pairing, i.e. permitting non-standard base-pairing at the 3rd anti-codon position. The record is from Rfam by way of RNAcentral. Lineage: Eukaryota; Metazoa; Chordata; Mammalia; Monotremata; Ornithorhynchidae.